CCCUUAGAUGUUCUGGGCCGCACGCGCGCUACACUGAUUCAUGCAACAAGUUUUGUCCUUGGCUGAUAGGCCUGGGUAAUCUUUGAACGUGAAUCGUGAUGGGGAUAGAUGAUUGCAAUUAUUCAUCUUCAACGAGGGAUUCCUAGUAAACGCAAGUCAUCAGCUUGCAUUGAUUACGUCCCUGCCCUUUGUACACACCGCCCGUCGCACCUACCGAUUGAAUGGUCCGGUGAAAUCUUCGGAUCUGAGAGAUGUCUGAUUAAUUUCGGACGCCUUUUGGAAAAGUUGUUUAAACCUUACCAUUUAGAGGAAGGUGAAGUCGUAACA
Molecule: ribosomal RNA, 327 nt
Filed under: uncultured eukaryote
Lineage: Eukaryota
Description: partial 18S ribosomal RNA
Rfam family: Eukaryotic small subunit ribosomal RNA
Source: RNAcentral